UUAGUGGCGGACGGGUGAGUAACGCGUGGAUAACCUGCCGUAUACAGGGGGAUAACACUUAGAAAUAGGUGUUAAUACCGCAUAAGCGCACGGUUCCGCAUGGAACAGUGUGAAAAACUCCGGUGGUAUACGAUGGAUCCGCGUCUGAUUAGCCAGUUGGCGGGGUAACGGCCCACCAAAGCGACGAUCAGUAGCCGGCCUGAGAGGGUGAACGGCCACAUUGGGACUGAGACACGGCCCAAACUCCUACGGAAGGCAGCAG
RNAcentral lists this ribosomal RNA (262 nucleotides) under uncultured bacterium. RNAcentral's name for it is "partial 16S ribosomal RNA". It matches the Rfam family "Bacterial small subunit ribosomal RNA", at positions 92 to 354 of the family's 1533-position model. The record is from RNAcentral.